GCGACGGAGGUGGCACGGCAAACCCCAUCCGGAGCAAGGCCAAAUAGGGGCGGAGAGGUGGCCCGCCUCGCUAACACGCCCGGGUAGGCCGCAGGAGGCGUCCGGCAACGGGCGUCCCAGACCGAUGGCUAUCAGCCCUUUCGGGCUACAGAACCCGGCUUACAGUCCCGCUUCCCUU
This 178-nucleotide RNase P RNA is filed under the name Candidatus Latescibacterota bacterium. RNAcentral's name for it is "partial RNase P RNA component class A". It matches the Rfam family "Bacterial RNase P class A", at positions 189 to 367 of the family's 367-position model. Rfam says of the family: Ribonuclease P (RNase P) is a ubiquitous endoribonuclease, found in archaea, bacteria and eukarya as well as chloroplasts and mitochondria. Its best characterised activity is the generation of mature 5'-ends of tRNAs by cleaving the 5'-leader elements of precursor-tRNAs. Lineage: Bacteria; Pseudomonadati; Candidatus Latescibacterota. The record is from RNAcentral.